AGGAUGAACGCUGGCGGUGUGCCUAAUACAUGCAAGUCGAGCGGUAAGGUCCCUUCGGGGAUACACGAGCGGCGGACGGCUGAGUAACACGUAGGAACGUACCCCAAAGUGAGGGAUAAGCACCAGAAAUGGUGUCUAAUACCGCAUGUGCUCUAAGGAGUAAAGCUUUACGCGCUUUGGGAACGGCCUGCGCAUGAUUAGCUUGUUGGUGAGGUAAAGCUCACCAAGGCGACGAUCAUUAGUUGGUCUGAGAGGAUGAUCAGCCAGACUGGGACUAGGAGACACGGCCCAGACUCCGUACGGGAGGCGAGCAGUAGGGUAACUUUUCCACAAGUGGGACAAAGGCCUGAUAGGAGACAACGACCCGCGGUGCCGAGGACUGGAACGGUCCGUUUCGGGUUUAGUAAAC
RNAcentral lists this ribosomal RNA (409 nucleotides) under uncultured soil bacterium. RNAcentral's name for it is "bacterial SSU rRNA". It matches the Rfam family "Bacterial small subunit ribosomal RNA", at positions 26 to 441 of the family's 1533-position model. The record is from RNAcentral.